CCUACGGGAGGCAGCAGUGGGGAAUAUUGGGCAAUGGGGGAAACCCUGACCCAGCGACGCCGCGUGGAGGAAGAAGUCCCUCGGGAUGUAAACUCCUGUUGUGUGGGAAGAAGCGAGUGACGGUACCACACGAGGAAGCCCCGGCAAACUACGUGCCAGCAGCCGCGGUAAU
Molecule: ribosomal RNA, 172 nt
Filed under: uncultured bacterium
Lineage: Bacteria
Description: partial 16S ribosomal RNA
Rfam family: Bacterial small subunit ribosomal RNA
Source: RNAcentral